CGGUAAAAGCCUCAAAUUUGAAAUCUGGUACUUUCAGUGCCCGAGUUGUAAUUUGUAGAAUUUGUCUUUGAUUAGGUCCUUGUCUAUGUUCCUUGGAACAGGACGUCAUAGAGGGUGAGAAUCCCGUUUGGCGAGGAUACCUUUUCUCUGUAAGACUUUUUCGAAGAGUCGAGUUGUUUGGGAAUGCAGCUCAAAGUGGGUGGUAAAUUCCAUCUAAAGCUAAAUAUUGGCGAGAGACCGAUAGCGAACAAGUACAGUGAUGGAAAGAUGAAAAGAACUUUGAAAAGAGAGUGAAAAAGUACGUGAAAUUGUUGAAAGGGAAGGGCAUUUGAUCAGACAUGGUGUUUUUUGCAUGCACUUGCCUCUCGUGGGCUUGGGCCUCUCAAAAAUUUCACUGGGCCAACAUCAAUUCUGGCAGUAGGAUAAAUCAUUAAGAAUGUAGCUACCUCGGUAGUGUUAUAGCUUAUUGGAAUACUGCUAGCUGGGAUUGAGGACUGCGCUUCGGCAAGGAUGUUGGCAUAAUGGUUAAAUGCCGCCCGUCUUGAAACACGGACC
Molecule: ribosomal RNA, 555 nt
Filed under: Hanseniaspora opuntiae
Lineage: Eukaryota; Fungi; Ascomycota; Saccharomycetes; Saccharomycodales; Saccharomycodaceae
Description: partial large subunit ribosomal RNA
Rfam family: Eukaryotic large subunit ribosomal RNA
Source: RNAcentral